RNAcentral lists this ribosomal RNA (407 nucleotides) under bacterium enrichment culture clone ALO1_GLFRUDD03HE1YZ. RNAcentral's name for it is "bacterial SSU rRNA". It matches the Rfam family "Bacterial small subunit ribosomal RNA", at positions 9 to 416 of the family's 1533-position model. The record is from RNAcentral.
GAGUUUGAUCGUGGCUCAGAUUGAACGCUGGCGGCAUGCCUUACACAUGCAAGUCGAACGGCAGCACGGGAGCUUGCUCCUGGUGGCGAGUGGCGAACGGGUGAGUAAUGCAUCGGAACGUAUCCUGGAGUGGGGGAUAACGUAGCGAAAGUUACGCUAAUACCGCAUAUUCUGUGAGCAGGAAAGCGGGGGACCUUCGGGCCUCGCGCUCUUGGAGCGGCCGAUGUCGGAUUAGCUAGUUGGUGAGGUAAAGGCUCACCAAGGCGACGAUCCGUAGCAGGUCCGAGAGGAUGAUCUGCCACACUGGAACUGAGACACGGUCCAGACUCCUACGGGAGGCAGCAGUGGGGAAUUUUGGACAAUGGGGGCAACCCUGAUCCAGCCAUGCCGCGUGAGUGAAGAAGGCC